RNAcentral lists this ribosomal RNA (468 nucleotides) under uncultured bacterium. Its description in RNAcentral is "partial 16S ribosomal RNA". It matches the Rfam family "Bacterial small subunit ribosomal RNA", at positions 28 to 507 of the family's 1533-position model. The record is from RNAcentral.
GACGAACGCUGGCGGCGUGCUUAACACAUGCAAGUCGAACGGAAAGGCCCUGCUUUUGUGGGGUGCUCGAGUGGCGAACGGGUGAGUAACACGUGAGUAACCUGCCCUUGACUUUGGGAUAACUUCAGGAAACUGGGGCUAAUACCGGAUAGGAGCUCCUGCUGCAUGGUGGGGGUUGGAAAGUUUCGGCGGUUGGGGAUGGACUCGCGGCUUAUCAGCUUGUUGGUGGGGUAGUGGCUUACCAAGGCUUUGACGGGUAGCCGGCCUGAGAGGGUGACCGGCCACAUUGGGACUGAGAUACGGCCCAGACUCCUACGGGAGGCAGCAGUGGGGAAUAUUGCACAAUGGGCGGAAGCCUGAGGCAGCAACGCCGCGUGCGGGAUGACGGCCUUCGGGUUGUGAACCGCUUUCGCCUGUGACGAAGCGUGAGUGACGGUAAUGGGUAAAGAAGCACCGGCUAACUACGUG